This 404-nucleotide ribosomal RNA is filed under the name Verrucomicrobiota bacterium. RNAcentral describes it as "Verrucomicrobia bacterium partial 16S ribosomal RNA". It matches the Rfam family "Bacterial small subunit ribosomal RNA", at positions 355 to 776 of the family's 1533-position model. The record is from RNAcentral. Lineage: Bacteria; Pseudomonadati; Verrucomicrobiota.
UGGGGAAUCUUGCACAAUGGGGGCAACCCUGAUGCAGCGACGCCGCGUGAGCGAUGAAGGUUUUCGAAUCGUAAAGCUCUGUCCUAUGGGAAGAUAAUGACGGUACCAUAGGAGGAAGCCCCGGCUAACUACGUGCCAGCAGCCGCGGUAAUACGUAGGGCGCAAGCGUUAUCCGGAAUUAUUGGGCGUAAAGAGCUUGUAGGCGGUUCGUCGCGUCUGGUGUGAAAGCCCAUCGCUUAACGGUGGGUUUGCGCCGGGUACGGGCGGGCUAGAGUGCAGUAGGGGAGACUGGAAUUCCCGGUGUAACGGUGGAAUGUGUAGAUAUCGGGAAGAACACCAAUGGCGAAGGCAGGUCUCUGGGCUGUUACUGACGCUGAGAAGCGAAAGCGUGGGGAGCGAACAGG